AUGAGCCAUCCAUCACAUGGUAGUGAGUGGAAAAGCUUCAACCAGAAACACAAAAAGUUUGCUGCUGACCCAAGAAACAUUAGACUUGGCUUAGCUUCAGAUGGAUUUAACCCAUUUGGCCACCAGAGCGCCACAUAUAGCAUGUGGCCAGUGCUUGUUAUCCCUUACAACAUGCCUCCAAAUGUCUGCACCAAAGAAUCAAACUACAUGACGGCCUUGCUCAUACCAGGUCCAAAAAGUCCUGGAAAUGAUUUUGAUUUAUUCAUGGAGCCUCUUGUGGAGGAACUUCAACAGCUAUGGAGGGAUGUUCUCACUCGAGACCUAUAUAGCUGCCCAGCAGCUGAUUUCUUUCUAUGUGCUAUUAUAAUUUGGUGCAUCCAUGAUUAUCCGACUUUGGACACUAUGUCAGGGUGA
Molecule: ribosomal RNA, 414 nt
Filed under: Triticum aestivum (bread wheat)
Lineage: Eukaryota; Viridiplantae; Streptophyta; Magnoliopsida; Poales; Poaceae
Description: partial small subunit ribosomal RNA
Source: RNAcentral